AGGGUGGGGAAGCUUCUGUGUGCGAAAUAGCACAGAAGCCGAGUCCCGGCGCAAUCUUUCCAUAAGCGCCUGUGGCAGAUGUUGAGGCUGAAGUGCGGCGAGCAUAGAGACACGGCUGGGAUGAAGGGGCUAUACACCCUGAAGAUGAGGAGAUGGAGGAAGACUAAGAGCUCAAGGCCCAGCUCAUACCUAGGGAGAUCCUGCCUCAGACACUCAGCCUACCUGAUGCUUGUCUUCGCAAUUCAAGUCCUACUGGGGGACUUUUCCUUUUGGGAAGUCUGCAGUCAAUGUGAGCUCCGCCUGACACAUCACGGUGUGCCAUGGCAGAGCCUCCCCAGCAAUGGUCCUUUGGGUGAGAUGACUGGCUGGCUGGGACCUGGCUGGGCUCAGGGCGCAGUGGGUACCUCCUUCAGCCCUUAGCACCAGCAGCUGUGGCUGCUAAGCCCUGCAGCCAGAGAAAGUGGCUCUGCUGUCUGAGCCUAGUAAAUGCUUUUACGAGUCCUUUUACUAAUUUGGGCUAAUAUGUGGAGAAGCCAGGAGGACAGUUACAACCAAGGAGAGGCCCAGACCCUGUGUCUCCCUGGAACAAACACAGUCUGCCCUCCGGUGCACUCAGACGGCUCAGAGCUCCAGGGGGAGGGGAGGGGGCGGCCGGCCACCCUGACCGCGGGGAGGGUCACCCCGUGUCUGGGUCAAGCAGCGUCUGUGCCUGUGAUUGCUGUAGUUCUGUUUGUUUGUUUGCUGCCUCUGGGCUCUUGACUUUACAGCUAGAGCUGCUGCUGCAGAGCUGGUUAAGAGCAAAGACCUUGUACCAUCUGUCUUCAGCCAUUUAGAUAUGCCUAUUGGAUGUAACAAGCACAUUUACAACAUGAUGUUCCCACAGUGUU
Mesocricetus auratus (golden hamster) is the source of this 887-nucleotide long non-coding RNA. RefSeq lists it as uncharacterized. The record is from RefSeq and is a predicted model, not a curated record. The transcript is spliced from 2 exons. Lineage: Eukaryota; Metazoa; Chordata; Mammalia; Rodentia; Cricetidae.